RNAcentral lists this ribosomal RNA (387 nucleotides) under Pantoea sp. GM59. RNAcentral describes it as "bacterial SSU rRNA". It matches the Rfam family "Bacterial small subunit ribosomal RNA", at positions 995 to 1382 of the family's 1533-position model. Lineage: Bacteria; Pseudomonadati; Pseudomonadota; Gammaproteobacteria; Enterobacterales; Erwiniaceae. The record is from RNAcentral.
ACUUAGCAGAGAUGCUUUGGUGCCUUCGGGAACUCUGAGACAGGUGCUGCAUGGCUGUCGUCAGCUCGUGUUGUGAAAUGUUGGGUUAAGUCCCGCAACGAGCGCAACCCUUAUCCUUUGUUGCCAGCGAUUCGGUCGGGAACUCAAAGGAGACUGCCGGUGAUAAACCGGAGGAAGGUGGGGAUGACGUCAAGUCAUCAUGGCCCUUACGAGUAGGGCUACACACGUGCUACAAUGGCGCAUACAAAGAGAAGCGACCUCGCGAGAGCAAGCGGACCUCAUAAAGUGCGUCGUAGUCCGGAUCGGAGUCUGCAACUCGACUCCGUGAAGUCGGAAUCGCUAGUAAUCGUGGAUCAGAAUGCCACGGUGAAUACGUUCCCGGGUCUU